AGUGAACGCUGGCGGUAGGCCUAACACAUGCAAGUCGAACGGCAGCACAGUAAGAGCUUGCUCUUACGGGUGGCGAGUGGCGGACGGGUGAGGAAUACAUCGGAAUCUACUUUUUCGUGGGGGAUAACGUAGGGAAACUUACGCUAAUACCGCAUACGACCUACGGGUGAAAGCAGGGGAUCUUCGGACCUUGCGCGAUUGAAUGAGCCGAUGUCGGAUUAGCUAGUUGGCGGGGUAAAGGCCCACCAAGGCGACGAUCCGUAGCUGGUCUGAGAGGAUGAUCAGCCACACUGGAACUGAGACACGGACCAGACUCCUACGGGAGGCAGCAGUGGGGAAUAUUAGACAAUGGGCGCAAGCCUGAUCCAGCCAUACCGCGUGGGUGAAGAAGGCCUUCGGGUUGUAAAGCCCUUUUGUUGGGAAAGAAAAGCAGCAGGUUAAUACCCCGCUGUUCUGACGGUACCCAAAGAAUAAGCACCGGCUAACUUCGUG
Molecule: ribosomal RNA, 492 nt
Filed under: uncultured bacterium
Lineage: Bacteria
Description: partial 16S ribosomal RNA
Rfam family: Bacterial small subunit ribosomal RNA
Source: RNAcentral